GGGUGAUCUGACUAUGACGUCUGUCACCCCAUCCAUUUCUAGGGUUGAGUUAGCAGAUGUGGCUGGCUAAGCAGGUGUUCCUCACUGCCCUGUGCUCAUGCCUUCUGAAGCUGUGCAGCUGGUCUAAAAGGAUUAUCUUCUCCAACAUAGGAGUAUCUUUCUUUGGUCAAGAGUAUAUGAACAGCUGUGCUUCCCUGAUAGAGCCUCCAGACAAGUUCACAAGGUCUAUUUGUACAAGAACAUGGGGUAGUCAAACUUCCCAGAUUCCAGACACAUCCAAAUUAGGUGCUGCAUGUAGCAGUCUACCUUUUUUU
This 314-nucleotide small nuclear RNA is filed under the name Jaculus jaculus (lesser Egyptian jerboa). RNAcentral's name for it is "7SK RNA (ENSJJAG00000000937.1)". It matches the Rfam family "7SK RNA". From Rfam's summary of the family: 7SK was discovered as an abundant small nuclear RNA in the mid-70s but a possible function has only recently been suggested. The record is from Rfam by way of RNAcentral. Lineage: Eukaryota; Metazoa; Chordata; Mammalia; Rodentia; Dipodidae.